Molecule: ribosomal RNA, 792 nt
Filed under: uncultured archaeon
Lineage: Archaea
Description: bacterial SSU rRNA
Rfam family: Archaeal small subunit ribosomal RNA
Source: RNAcentral
ACGGCUCAGUAACACGUGGGUAACCUAACCUAUGCAGGGGAAUAACCUCGGGAAGCUGAGAAUAAUACCCCAUAGUCCACUACGCCUGGAACGGUGAGUGGAUGAAAGCUCAGGCGGCAUAGGAUGGGCCUGCGGCGUAUCAGGUUGUAGGGGGUGUAAAGUACCCUCUAGCCCUCUACGCGUACGGGUGUUGGGAGACAUAGCCCGGAGAUGGAUUCUGAGACACGAAUCCAGACCCUACGGGGUGCAGCAGGCGCGAAAACUUGGCAAUGCGAGCAAUCGUGACCAGGGAACUCCAAGUGGCUGGGGUAAGACCCAGUCUUUUCAGAACUCUUCAAAGGUUUUAGAAUAAGGGGUGGGUAAGGACGGUGCCAGCCGCCGCGGUAAUACCGGCGCCUCAAGUGGUAGUCGCUUUUAUUGGGCCUAAAACGUCCGUAGCCGGUUUGGUACAUUCGUGGGUAAAUCAACUCGCUCAACGAGUUGAAUUCUGCGAGGACGGCCAGACUUGGGACCGGGAGAGGUGUGGGGUACUCUCAGGGUAGGGGUAAAAUCCUGUCAUCCUGAGAGGACCACCUGUUGCGAAGGCGCCACACUAGAACGGAUCCGACGGUCAGGGACGAAGCCUAGGGGCACGAACCGGAUUAGAUACCCGGGUAGUCCUAGGUGUAAACGCUGUGAACUUGGUGUCGGGAGUCCGCAAUGGGCCCCCGGUGCCGGAGUGAAGAUGUUAAGUUCACUGCCUGGGGAGUACGGUCGCAAGGCUGAAACUUAAAGGAAUUGGCGGGGGAGCAC